CCUACGGGAGGCAGCAGUGGGGAAUAUUGCACAAUGGGGGAAACCCUGAUGCAGCAACGCCGCGUGAGUGAAGAAGUAUUUCGGUACGUAAAGCUCUGUCAGCAGGGAAGAAAAUGACGGUACCUGACGAAGAAGCCACGGCUAACUACGUGCCAGCAGCCGCGGUAAUACGUAGGGGGCAAGCGUUAUCCGGAUUUACUGGGUGUAAAGGGAGCGUAGGCGGCAGUGCAAGUCUGUAGUGAAAUCCCAGGGCUUAACCUGGGAACUGCUUUGGAAACUGGGCAGCUGGAGUGCAGGAGAGGUAAACGGAAUUCCUAGUGUAGCGGUGAAAUGCGUAGAUAUUAGGAGGAACACCAGUGGCGAAGGCGGUUUACUGGACUGUAACUGACGUUGAGGCUCGAAAGCGUGGGGAGCAAACAGGAUUAGAUACCCUUGUAGUC
Molecule: ribosomal RNA, 440 nt
Filed under: uncultured bacterium
Lineage: Bacteria
Description: partial 16S ribosomal RNA
Rfam family: Bacterial small subunit ribosomal RNA
Source: RNAcentral